Pelobates cultripes (western spadefoot toad) is the source of this 249-nucleotide non-coding RNA. The record is from the annotation of a GenBank genome assembly. NCBI's taxonomy places the organism in Eukaryota, Metazoa, Chordata, Amphibia, Anura, Pelobatidae.
CUGUCAUGCCCCAAGGGGCACAAAAUUCACCAAGUCAAUUUGCGAAGGCCAUGUGCUCUAUCCUUGAUCCAUGGCAAUUUGACCACCAUGAGGUCGUCCUGCUUCAAUAUGUGGAUGAUUUGCUGCUUUGUGGAGAUGAUAUACCCACAACAGAACAAUGCUCACUUAAUCUUCUUUGCUACCUAGCAGAACAAGGAUGUAAAGCUUCACGUCUCAAGCUGCAAUUCUGCCAACCUACUGUUAUCUUCC